Molecule: ribosomal RNA, 493 nt
Filed under: uncultured bacterium
Lineage: Bacteria
Description: bacterial SSU rRNA
Rfam family: Bacterial small subunit ribosomal RNA
Source: RNAcentral
GACGACGCUGGCGGCGUGGAUUAGGCAUGCAAGUCGGACGGUAGGGCUUUAUCGUAAGAUAGAGUUUGAGAGUGGCGAACGGGUGAGUAACACGUAGGAAUCUACCCUUAAGACGGGGACAACCCAGGGAAACUUGGGCUAAUACCGGAUGAGAGUGCGAGAGAUUGCAUUUAAAAGGAUGGCGAAAGUUGUCGCUUAGGGAUGAGCCUGCGGUCUAUUAGUUAGUUGGUGAGGUAAGAGCUCACCAAGGCGAUGAUAGAUAGGCGGCCUUAACGGGUGGUCGCCCACACUGGGAUUGAGAUACGGCCCAGACUCCUACGGGAGGCAGCAGUCGAGAAUAGUCUACAAUGGCCGGAAGGCUGAUAGUGCGACGCCGCGUGAACGAGGGAGCCCUUCGGGGUGUAAAGUUCUUUUAUACGUGAGCAGUGUCCUUUAUAUUAAUAGUAUAAGGGGAGAGAUAUUAGCGUAUGAAUAAGCAACGGCUAACUCCGUG